Molecule: unclassified non-coding RNA, 377 nt
Filed under: Hevea brasiliensis (rubber tree)
Lineage: Eukaryota; Viridiplantae; Streptophyta; Magnoliopsida; Malpighiales; Euphorbiaceae
Source: RNAcentral
UAGCUAAAUGCCCUCUUUUCUUCUUCACGCUGACUACAUCUUUGUCCUCCAAAAUACAUGUUGACUCAAAAGGAGGCAAGACAAAACCAUCCAUAGAGAGGAGGAUGCCAUUAGGACAAGAAUCAUGGAGCUGAAAAGUGUGGAGAAGAUAUGAAGAAAGAUCAGAAACAGUUCUGUGCUGUUGGGGUUUGAGAAGAAGCCAAGUUUUUACGAAACCCUCAGAUUUCUGCAGGUCGCUGAGAAUGUCAGGGUCAUUGAACGACAAUCGAAGCCUAACGCCCUCCAUUAUUGCUCAUGCAAGAGAAAGAAUCCGGCUUUGGAGCUUUUGCAGAUGAAUUGUAGCUACACUCUUUUCACUUCCCUUUAGUUAAACCCUG